Molecule: ribosomal RNA, 601 nt
Filed under: Trichoderma harzianum
Lineage: Eukaryota; Fungi; Ascomycota; Sordariomycetes; Hypocreales; Hypocreaceae
Description: eukaryotic LSU rRNA
Rfam family: 5.8S ribosomal RNA (bases 226-379)
Source: RNAcentral
UUGGUGACCAGCGGAGGGAUCAUUACCGAGUUUACAACUCCCAAACCCGAUGUGAACGUUACCAAACUGUUGCCUCGGCGGGAUCUCUGCCCCGGGUGCGUCGCAGCCCCGGACCAAGGCGCCCGCCGGAGGACCAACCAAAACUCUUUUUGUAUACCCCCUCGCGGGUUUUUUAUAAUCUGAGCCUUCUCGGCGCCUCUCGUAGGCGUUUCGAAAAUGAAUCAAAACUUUCAACAACGGAUCUCUUGGUUCUGGCAUCGAUGAAGAACGCAGCGAAAUGCGAUAAGUAAUGUGAAUUGCAGAAUUCAGUGAAUCAUCGAAUCUUUGAACGCACAUUGCGCCCGCCAGUAUUCUGGCGGGCAUGCCUGUCCGAGCGUCAUUUCAACCCUCGAACCCCUCCGGGGGGUCGGCGUUGGGGAUCGGCCCUCCCUUAGCGGGUGGCCGUCUCCGAAAUACAGUGGCGGUCUCGCCGCAGCCUCUCCUGCGCAGUAGUUUGCACACUCGCAUCGGGAGCGCGGCGCGUCCACAGCCGUUAAACACCCAACUUCUGAAAUGUUGACCUCGGAUCAGGUAGGAAUACCCGCUGAACUUAAGCAUAUCA